UUGACCUCAAAUCAGGUAGGACUACCCGCUGAACUUAAGCAUAUCAAUAAGCGGAGGAAAAGAAACUAACAAGGAUUCCCCUAGUAACUGCGAGUGAAGAGGGAAAAGCUCAAAUUUAAAAUCUGGCAGCUUCGCUGUCCGAGUUGUAACUAGA
This 154-nucleotide ribosomal RNA is filed under the name Armillaria sp. 5 TG-2016. RNAcentral describes it as "partial large subunit ribosomal RNA". It matches the Rfam family "Eukaryotic large subunit ribosomal RNA", at positions 1 to 153 of the family's 3401-position model. Lineage: Eukaryota; Fungi; Basidiomycota; Agaricomycetes; Agaricales; Physalacriaceae. The record is from RNAcentral.